UGAUAGGCCUGACCAUGCUUUUGUUUGGAAGA
RNAcentral lists this non-coding RNA (32 nucleotides) under Mus musculus (house mouse). Lineage: Eukaryota; Metazoa; Chordata; Mammalia; Rodentia; Muridae. The record is from RNAcentral.